CCUACGGGUGGCAGCAGUGAGGAAUAUUGGUCAAUGGACGAGAGUCUGAACCAGCCAAGUAGCGUGAAGGAUGACUGCCCUAUGGGUUGUAAACUUCUUUUAUAUGGGAAUAAAAUGUUACACGUGUGGGAUUUUGUAUGUACCAUAUGAAUAAGGAUCGGCUAACUCCGUGCCAGCAGCCGCGGUAAUACGGAGGAGCCGGGCGUUAUCCGGAGUUAUUGGGUUUAAAGGGAGCGUAGGUGGAUUGUUAAGUCAGUUGUGAAAGUUUGCGGCUCAACCGUAAAACUGCAGUUGAAACUGGCAGUCUUGAGUACAGUAGAGGUGGGCGGAAUUCGUGGUGUAGCGGUGAAAUGCUUAGAUAUCACGAAGAACUCCGAUUGCGAAGGCAGUUCACUGGACUGCAACUGACACUGAGGCUCGAAAGUGUGGGUAUCAAACAGGAUUAGAUACCCCAGUAGUC
This 460-nucleotide ribosomal RNA is filed under the name uncultured bacterium. RNAcentral's name for it is "partial 16S ribosomal RNA". It matches the Rfam family "Bacterial small subunit ribosomal RNA", at positions 338 to 795 of the family's 1533-position model. The record is from RNAcentral.